AUCCGGUUGAUAAAUCUCAAACAGGGCGAAACACGCGUCCUGGAU
Schistosoma rodhaini is the source of this 45-nucleotide non-coding RNA. The record is from Rfam. NCBI's taxonomy places the organism in Eukaryota, Metazoa, Platyhelminthes, Trematoda, Strigeidida, Schistosomatidae.